AUCGGUCCUCGGUUGUGGCUCCCGGGCCAAAUUUAUUAAUUUAAAUCCCGUGGGCUUCCAUCGAAGAUCCGU
This 72-nucleotide non-coding RNA is filed under the name unclassified sequences. The record is from Rfam.